GUUGGCAUAGCCCAUUUGGUGCUGGAGUUUUUGUUUUAGUUGUGUUUCUUACCACCUCCCCUAACCCGAGCACCUGACCUUGGAAUAUUAGUUGCAGUUUGGAAUAUUGUAUUUCUUCUGCGCUAAUUGUGUUUUAUUUCUUUUAAGUCCUUAGAAAAUAUAAGCAAAUGUAAUUUUUUGGUAUCAAAGUUUUUUCUGUUCUCUGUUCUCUUUUUCCAAAGGGAUUUUGCUGUAGGAAUCUGUAACAAAAUCAGUGAAAUGAUUCAAGGUUUAGCAACACCAGUAGACUUGAAGCUAAAAUUGAUACCCAUUCUACAGCACAUGCACCAUGAUGCAAUCUUGGCUUCCAGUGCUCGUCAGCUUUUACAACAGCUGGUCACAUCCUAUCCGUCCACCAAAAUGGUGAUUGUGUCUUUGCACACUUUCACUCUGCUUGCAGCUUCAUCUUUGGUUGAUACACCUAAGCAGAUUCAGCUUCUGUUGCAGUAUUUGAAGAAUGAUCCCAGGAAGGCAGUAAAGAGACUUGCUAUUCAAGAUCUGAAAUUACUUGCUAAUAAAACACCAC
RNAcentral lists this small RNA (565 nucleotides) under Pan troglodytes (chimpanzee). RNAcentral describes it as "retained intron". The record is from RNAcentral. Lineage: Eukaryota; Metazoa; Chordata; Mammalia; Primates; Hominidae.